AUUGAACGCUGGCGGCAGGCCUAACACAUGCAAGUCGAACGGUAACAGGAAGAAGCUUGCUUCUUUGCUGACGAGUGGCGGACGGGUGAGUAAUGUCUGGGAAACUGCCUGAUGGAGGGGGAUAACUACUGGAAACGGUAGCUAAUACCGCAUAACGUCGCAAGACCAAAGAGGGGGACCUUCUGGCCUCUUGCCAUCGGAUGUGCCCAGAUGGGAUUAGCUAGUAGGUGGGGUAACGGCUCACCUAGGCGACGAUCCCUAGCUGGUCUGAGAGGAUGACCAGCCACACUGGAACUGAGACACGGUCCAGACUCCUACGGGAGGCAGCAGUGGGGAAUAUUGGACAAUGGGCGCAAGCCUGAUGCAGCCAUGCCGCGUGUAUGAAGAAGGCCUUCGGGUUGUAAAGUACUUUCAGCGGGGAGGAAGGGAGUAAAGUUAAUACCUUGGCUCAUUGACGUUACCCGAAGAAGAAGCACCGGCUAACUCCGUG
Molecule: ribosomal RNA, 490 nt
Filed under: uncultured bacterium
Lineage: Bacteria
Description: partial 16S ribosomal RNA
Rfam family: Bacterial small subunit ribosomal RNA
Source: RNAcentral